This 486-nucleotide ribosomal RNA is filed under the name uncultured bacterium. RNAcentral's name for it is "partial 16S ribosomal RNA". It matches the Rfam family "Bacterial small subunit ribosomal RNA", at positions 30 to 507 of the family's 1533-position model. The record is from RNAcentral.
AUUGAACGCUGGCGGCAUGCCUUACACAUGCAAGUCGAACGGCAGCACGGGUGCUUGCACCUGGUGGCGAGUGGCGAACGGGUGAGUAAUACAUCGGAACAUGUCCUGUAGUGGGGGAUAGCACGGCGAAAGCCGGAUUAAUACCGCAUACGAUCCACGGAUGAAAGCGGGGGACCUUCGGGCCUCGCGCUAUAGGGUUGGCCGAUGGCUGAUUAGCUAGUUGGUGGGGUAAAGGCCUACCAAGGCGACGAUCAGUAGCUGGUCUGAGAGGACGACCAGCCACACUGGGACUGAGACACGGCCCAGACUCCUACGGGAGGCAGCGGUGGGGAAUUUUGGACAAUGGGCGAAGGCCUGAUCCAGCAAUGCCGCGUGUGUGAAGAAGGCCUUCGGGUUGUAAAGCACUUUUGUCCGGAAAGAAAUCCUUGGCUCUAAUACAGUCGGGGGAUGACGGUACCGGAAGAAUAAGCACCGGCUAACUACGUG